Magnolia sinica is the source of this 3467-nucleotide RNA transcript. It is a transcript of the gene named vacuolar protein-sorting-associated protein 11 homolog, with no coding region annotated. Lineage: Eukaryota; Viridiplantae; Streptophyta; Magnoliopsida; Magnoliales; Magnoliaceae. The record is from RefSeq and is a predicted model, not a curated record. The transcript is spliced from 7 exons.
UCAGCAUCCUUGUGCAGGAACUUCAUGCGAUUCGCAGGAAAUCCGCGUCGCUUCUUCUUCUUCUUCUUCUCUCUCUCUCUGCUACUGCGUUCGCUGAAGAGCUCCAUCCAAUUCUAGGGUUUGGAGAGCUCCAUUUCCUCGUAUCUCUGAUCGUGAUUUCUCAACCGUCCAAUCGCGUUUCUCCAUCCAUAUUCUCCUUCCGCCAGAGAUGUAUCAAUGGCGGAAAUUCGAGUUCUUCGAAGAGAAAUCGCCCUCCGGUAAAUGCUCCAUUCCCGAAGAAGUCUCUGGAAAGAUCCAGUGCUGCUCGAGCGGGAGAGGGAAGAUCGCCGUCGGAUGUGACGACGGGACCGUCAAUCUGCUCGAUCGAGGGUUGAAAUUCAUCUCCGGAUUCCAGGCCCACUCCUCGAACGUUAUCUUCCUUCAACAGCUCAAGCUCCGCAAUUUCCUCGUGACUGUUGGGGAGGAUGAACAAACCUCUCCCCAGCUAUCACCUAUCUGCCUGAAGGUUUUCGACCUUGAUAAGACGCAGCCAGAGAGUUCAAGCACAACAAGCCCUGUUUGUAUCCAGAUACUGCGGGUAUUCACCAAUCAGUUUCCUGAAGCAAAGAUUACAUCAUUUUUAGUCCUCGAGGAAGCUCCCCCAAUAUUGCUCAUCUCAAUUGGGUUAGACAAUGGUUGCAUUUACUGCAUUAAAGGGGACAUUGCACGUGAGCGUAUCACACGCUUCAAGCUUCAAGUCGAGAAUGCUUCAAACAAGAGCAGUUGCCCUAUCACAGGUCUAGGAUUCCGAGUUGAUGGACAGUCCCUUCAACUCUUUGGCGUCACUCCUAGUUCCGUUAGCUUGUUCAACUUGCAGGAUCAACCACCUAGGCGGCAGACCCUAGAUCAGAUUGGAUGCGAUGUCAAUAGUGUUACAAUGAGUGACCGCUUGGAACUGAUAAUUGGCCGUCCUGAGGCUGUCUACUUCUAUGAAGUCGAUGGGCGUGGACCUUGUUGGGCUUUUGAGGGGGAGAAGAAAUUCCUCGGCUGGUUUAGAGGGUACCUAUUGUGCGUUAUUGCAGAUCAGAGAAGCAGCAAGAAUACUUUCAAUGUUUAUGAUCUGAAGAACCGACUGAUCGCCCAUAGCCUAGUGAUUGGAGAGGUUUCUCACAUGCUUUGUGAAUGGGGUAAUGUAAUCCUUAUAAUGAGUGACAAGACAGCUUUAUGCAUCGGAGAAAAGGACAUGGAAAGCAAGUUGGAUAUGCUUUUCAAGAAGAAUCUAUAUACCGUUGCUAUCAAUCUCGUCCAAAGUCAGCAAGCAGAUGCUGCAGCCACCGCAGAAGUACUACGUAAGUAUGGUGACCAUUUGUACGGGAAACAAGAUUAUGAUGAAGCCAUGGCUCAAUACAUUAACACGAUCGGUCACCUCGAGCCUUCUUAUGUCAUUCAAAAGUUCCUUGAUGCCCAACGCAUCUACAACCUUACAAAUUACUUGGAAAAAUUACAUGAGAAAGGUCUGGCUUCUAAAGACCAUACCACCCUUCUUCUCAACUGCUAUACAAAAUUGAAAGAUGUAGAAAAGCUGAACGUAUUCAUAAAAAACGAAGAUGGUGUUGGAGAGCACAACUUUGAUUUGGAGACUGCCAUAAGAGUCUGCCGUGCUGCUGGAUAUCAUGAGCAUGCAAUGUAUGUUGCUAAGAAGGCAGGGAGGCAUGAGUGGUACUUGAAGAUCUUGCUCGAAGACCUCGGUGGAUAUCAGGAAGCAUUACAAUACAUUUCGAGCAUCGAACCCAGCCAAGCUGGGAUCACUGUGAAGGAGUAUGGUAAGAUUCUUGUGGAGCACAAGCCGGUUGAGACGAUCGAGAUACUCAUGAAGCUUUGCACUGAUGAUGGAGAAUCGGCGAAAAAGGGGACAGCAUUGAAUGGCACACGCAUAUCUAUGUUGCCUUCCCCAGUAGAUUUCCUCAACAUUUUCAUUCAUCAUCCCGAAGCUCUUAUGGAUUUUCUUGAGAAGUACAUCAGGCGGGUGGAAGAUUCGCCCGCCCAAGUAGAAAUUCACAAUACACUCUUGGAGCUAUACCUAUCUAAUGACUUGAACUUCCCAUCGAUUUCACAGGUGGGUGAUCUCUAUCUUAAUGGGAAUACGUCAUCAUUGGCCGACAGUAAGGGAAAAUCGAGUGUGGAUGGCAAAGAUAUAAAUAGGGAGAAGGCUCGUUCGGAGAGAUUCGAGAAAGGCUUGCGCUUGCUCACCAGUGCAUGGCCAUCUGGCACGGAACAACCAUUGUAUGAUGUGGGUCUUGCUGUCAUUCUUUGUGAGAUGAACACAUUCAAAGAAGGGCUGCUGUUUCUGUAUGAAAAGAUGAAGCUUUAUAAGGAGGUGAUUGCUUGCUACAUGCAGGCCCACGAUCAUGAAGGGUUGAUCGCCUGUUGUAAAAGGCUUGGGGAUUCGAGCAAGGGUGGAGAUCCAUCUCUAUGGGGGGAUCUGCUGAAGUACUUUGGUGAGCUUGGAGAAGAUUGCUCCAAAGAAGUCAAAGAAAUCUUGACAUAUGUUGAAAGGGAUGACAUAUUGCCUCCAAUUAUCGUUCUCCAGACACUGGCUAGGAAUCCUUGCCUCACUCUCUCUGUUGUCAAGGAUUACAUUGCUCGGAAACUCGAACAAGAAUCGAAGCUGAUUGAAGAAGAUCGUCGAUCUAUCGAGAAGUACCAGGAAGACACCUCGGCAAUGAGGAAAGAGAUACAGGAUCUCAGGACCAAUGCAAGGAUAUUUCAGCUCAGCAAAUGUACUGCUUGCACCUUUACACUCGAUCUUCCUGCAGUCCAUUUCAUGUGCAUGCAUUCAUUUCACCAACGUUGCCUUGGUGACAAUGAGAAAGAAUGCCCUGAGUGUGUGCCUGAGUACAGAUCUGUCUUAGAGAUGAAAAGAAGCUUAGAGCAAAAUGCUAAAGACCAUGACCGGUUCUUCCAGCAAGUGAAGGACUCAAAGGAUGGAUUCUCUGUUAUCGCCGACUAUUUUGGUAAGGGGAUUGUGAGCAAAACUAGUGACGGCCAAACGGGGGUUCUCAGGUCAGACAGUAGUACCCCAGGUGGCUUCUGAAGUUUGUUGUGGCAACAGUUGCUCACCAAACGGGGCCUCGAUUAGACGGUUCUUUUCCUGAAUUUCGACCAAGACAGACGGCUAUUUGGAUUGAGAAUUAUGGCCUAGAAGUGCAAUGACUACAAAUUACAAUACUUCUCUCCUGGAAAAUCGUUUUGUACAGGUCGGACCCAUUCUUCAGUGAUCCAAACGGUUUGUAUGGCGGGUUUCACCUGUCGAUUGCUCAUGGACCAAAGGUAUCUGAGAUGGAAGAUCCCAGCCAUUGAAUAUUUGCCUGUUUAUAUUGAAUGUUAACUGCUGCACCUGUAAAAUGGCAGUGCAUAUGCAUUUCUGCUUACCAAAAAUGAUCCACUAAGACCUCUCGAUUCAUAUGCAUGAGUCAACGAAGCAGUUG